RNAcentral lists this ribosomal RNA (797 nucleotides) under Phaeosphaeriopsis agavensis. RNAcentral's name for it is "eukaryotic LSU rRNA". It matches the Rfam family "Eukaryotic large subunit ribosomal RNA", at positions 260 to 1079 of the family's 3401-position model. Lineage: Eukaryota; Fungi; Ascomycota; Dothideomycetes; Pleosporales; Phaeosphaeriaceae. The record is from RNAcentral.
ACGAGUCGAGUUGUUUGGGAAUGCAGCUCUAAAUGGGAGGUAAAUUUCUUCUAAAGCUAAAUACUGGCCAGAGACCGAUAGCGCACAAGUAGAGUGAUCGAAAGAUGAAAAGCACUUUGGAAAGAGAGUCAAAUAGCACGUGAAAUUGUUGAAAGGGAAGCGCUUGCAGCCAGACUUGCCUGUAGUUGCUUAUCUAGACUUUUGUCUAGUGCACUCUUCUAUGGGCAGGCCAGCAUCAGUUUGGGCGGUUGGAUAAAGGUCUCUGUCAUGUACCUCCCUUUGGGGAGGCCUUAUAGGGGAGAUGCCAUGCAACCAGCCUGGACUGAGGUCCGCGCAUCUGCUAGGAUGCUGGCGUAAUGGCUGUAAGCGGCCCGUCUUGAAACACGGACCAAGGAGUCUAACAUCUAUGCAAGUGUUUGGGUGUCAAGCCCAGGCGCGUAAUGAAAGUGAACGGAGGUGGGAACCCUUUUGGGUGCACCAUCGACCGAUCCUGAUGUCUUCGGAUGGAUUUGAGUAAGAGCAUGGCUGUUGGGACCCGAAAGAUGGUGAACUAUGCUUGAAUAGGGUGAAGCCAGAGGAAACUCUGGUGGAGGCUCGCAGCGGUUCUGACGUGCAAAUCGAUCGUCAAAUUUGGGCAUAGGGGCGAAAGACUAAUCGAACUAUCUAGUAGCUGGUUCCUGCCGAAGUUUCCCUCAGGAUAGCAGUAACGUAUUCAGUUUUAUGAGGUAAAGCGAAUGAUUAGAGGCCUGGGGGUUGAAACAACCUUCACCUAUUCUCAAACUUUAAAUAUGUAAGAA